RNAcentral lists this ribosomal RNA (637 nucleotides) under Neogymnomyces sp. 14PA11. Its description in RNAcentral is "eukaryotic LSU rRNA". The stretch from base 270 to 423 matches the Rfam family "5.8S ribosomal RNA". The record is from RNAcentral. Lineage: Eukaryota; Fungi; Ascomycota; Eurotiomycetes; Onygenales; Neogymnomycetaceae.
UAGAGGAAGUAAAAGUCGUAACAAGGUUUCCGUAGGUGAACCUGCGGAAGGAUCAUUAAAAGUGCUACCAAACAUCCCUAAUUCUUUAACCAAAGGUUAGGGACUAUGGUUAAAGCCCCACCCGUGAAUACUGUACCUUUUAGUUGCUUUGGCGGGCCCGUUACCCAGUAACCGCCGGGGGUUUUAGUUAACCUCGGGCCCGUGUCCGCCAAUGGAAAAUUGAACUUCUAGAAUAUUAUUGACUGUCUGAGUGAUUAAACAAUCAUUAAAACUUUCAACAACGGAUCUCUUGGUUCCGGCAUCGAUGAAGAACGCAGCGAAAUGCGAUAAGUAAUGUGAAUUGCAGAAUUCCGUGAAUCAUCGAAUCUUUGAACGCACAUUGCGCCCUCUGGUAUUCCGGGGGGCAUGCCUGUCCGAGCGUCAUUGCAACCUUCAAGCACGGCUUGUGUGAUGGGCUUUGUCUGUUUAAUAAUUAAGGGACAAGCCUAAAAUGCAGUGGCGGUGUUUAAUUAAGCCUGAGUAAAUUGGAAUUAACUUAUCUGCUCAAAAGGAUCAAUUAAACACCUGUCAAAUCAACUAAAUUUUCUUUGGUUGACCUCGGAUCAGGUAGGAAUACCCGCUGAACUUAAGCAUAUCA